RNAcentral lists this long non-coding RNA (262 nucleotides) under Mytilus galloprovincialis (Mediterranean mussel). Lineage: Eukaryota; Metazoa; Mollusca; Bivalvia; Mytilida; Mytilidae. The record is from RNAcentral.
GAAAUUGUGAUGUUUUUAAUGGUUAUAUUUCCCUAUUUAUGUUUUUGUUGUUUUUAUAGUUUAUGAAGUGAUGAUGACGUUUGUUUCUGUCCAGGGACAACAAAGUAACUUAGGAUGUGUACCUGUAAUGUCGAAAACUUGUGAAAAAAUAAUUGUGAAAAAGUAAAACACUGACAAAUUUGUGAAAACGACAUCUUUCAGCUUGUGGAAUUACAAUUUUAAUUAGUUCUUGCAAAUUUUCGAACUUGUACAUUAGAUCUCA